AUAGUGCAGCACUAAGUGGGUGGUAAACUCCAUCUAAAACUAAAUAUAACCAUGAGACCGAUAGUAAACAAGUACCGUGAGGGAAAGUUGAAAAGAACUCUGAAUAGAGAGUUAAAUAGUACGUGAAACUGCUUAGAGGUUAAGCCCGAUGAACCUGAAUAUCCAUUAUGGAAAAUUCAUCAUUAUGAUUUUAAUAUUAAUAAUAUUAAAUUAAUAGUGUGCAUUUUUUCCAUAAAGGACAUUGUAAUCUAUUAACAUAAAUAUAUAUUUAUCAUAAGAUCAAUGGUGCUUCAGUUUAUUCAAAUUAUUUUGCUUGCAAUUUAACAUAGAAUAAAUGCUCUUGAUUUGAUAAAGUGUUGAUAGAUUUAUUAUAUAUAGUGCUUAAAUAUAUAUAUUUUAUAAUAGCAUAUUAAUCAUUGAUUUUUAUGUUUAUUAUAUGCACUUAUAUGAUUAACAAUGCGAAAGAUUCAGGAUACCUUCGGGACCCGUCUUG
RNAcentral lists this ribosomal RNA (493 nucleotides) under Sarcophaga sp. SBW02. Its description in RNAcentral is "partial large subunit ribosomal RNA". It matches the Rfam family "Eukaryotic large subunit ribosomal RNA", at positions 277 to 656 of the family's 3401-position model. Lineage: Eukaryota; Metazoa; Arthropoda; Insecta; Diptera; Sarcophagidae. The record is from RNAcentral.